This is a non-coding RNA of Notechis scutatus (mainland tiger snake), 2699 nucleotides long. Lineage: Eukaryota; Metazoa; Chordata; Lepidosauria; Squamata; Elapidae. The record is from RefSeq and is a predicted model, not a curated record.
GGUCACUAUCUCAUUGAAUAUGUAAUUGAGAUGUAUUCGCAGAUUUUUAUAGAUGCACGCAUAAGUGGAAAUUUAUUUAGGGAAUAUGAGAACUAAAUAUGUAUUGCUAUCAAUCCAAUUUAAUAGAUUUGCAAUUAUUGAUUUUUAUUUCUUAACUUGUAGCAGUGGUUUCUCAAGUUUGAAUAACUGAUGCUAAACUCAAAUUUGUUCCAUGGCUUUCCAAAAUUUAACUUGAAACAAAAUACAACAUUAUUUAAAUCAAUUUAUUGUACAUGUCCAAUACAAGGAAACUGCAAAAUCUAUUUUACUUUUUAAGUAAUUCAGUGCAAGAUGAAAAGUCGAAUAUGAUAGUAUAUUAGAUGAUACAUAAUUUGUUAAUUACAAACUUGAUCUUAAAGUUUCCUAUUUUGGUAGUUAUUGUAAUGAAGUAUGUUUAAAAACGUUUUUAUUAGGAGUCCAAUAUUGUAAUUAAUCAACUAAUAUUUUAAAAGCUGAUUUAAAAUUGGCAUUUGAAUUCAGAGCAUGUUAAAACCUGCCCACAUGAGGGUAAGGUAUCUAAAUGCCUUAAUUCUAUUUUCCCUUGACCAGAUCUGUUAAAACAGAAGUGGAAGUGCUUUUCUUUAAAUUUGUCUUUGAGACUGGCAGAAAAUUUAAAAUGAGGAGAAUUAAUGAAAUUGAGUAAUUAUUCCAAACUCUACUGAAGUUAAUAAAAAUACUUGCUUAAAUUUUCUCUACUGAUAUUUGUAAAGGUAGAUUUACAAAGCCACCAUUAUGUGAAAAUGAUCAAUGAUUAACAAAUAUACUGAGUAAUAGAGAAAGAACACUUUCUUAGUAUCUUUUUCUUUUUCAAAAUUUAAAGAAAUCAGUUUGGUUUUCUCCCUAUAUCUGGUAACCUUGUGUUUUCACAGCAUUACCAAAUAAAUUCGGAAACAAAGAUGAAGUAAUCAGAAAUAAAUAUUCUAAACUUCCAGAAUGAUUAGAGAUCAUAAUGGGUUAUUCCUUGUUUUCUUAAAAUAAAGAUUCAGUUUAAAAUUAAAAUUAGUAACUGGGAAUUUUAAUAUCAAAUUUGUAAUUGAUUUUGUUGAUAUCUUAUUAUGAAUAUUACUCAAGUAUCCGACAUUUUGCUUCCGUUUUUAUUUUUUUAUUUUUAUUUUUGCAGAAACAUAGCUUUUAACAGUAGCAAUAACAUUGUUAAAUUCUGAAAUGCAUUCAGUUUGUUUUCCAUGUGUAAUUUUGAAACAGUUGGGAAGAUCAAACUAUCUUCUUAUAUUUCCAUCCUUUAGUUUAAUAGGAGAAAUACAGAUUAUAAAUUCUUCAAUGCAGAUUGCCUUAUCUUGUUUUUCUCCUUAUAGCUGCUUGCUAAUAGAGAUUAAUGCUUACACAUAAAUCCUUUUUUUUUCUUCCUCUCUUGCUGAAGAUAUUCUUUUUGUGUGUGUAAAGUAUUGGGAACUGUAAGUGUCUGUACACAUAUAUUCCACGGACAUAAUAACACUAAAAGGUAGAUUAUUGGUGGGUCUAAUCAUUUUUUCUUGCAUAUACCUUCACCGUACAGGGCAUGCAGGCAGCCUGAUAUUAUGAAGUAAAUAAUGCAACCAGAGGUGGUUCUUUUUUCUUUUUUCUGGCAGAACCUUCCCAAACCAGUCUGACCUAGCACCUAGCAAUGUUCUUGGCUUUGCUCAGCAACAGCUUGGGAACCCAAAUCUCCUUCUGAACCCAGAUGGCAGUGUGUAGCCAUAUGUCAACAACAUAUGCCACCCUGAUUUCUUUUUUUUAAAAAAAAAUAAUCACAUCAAUUCUGCCAGCUACACAAAUGGAUCUUAACCCAUUGUGCAGCAAAGUAGUCUCUUCCCUGCCAAUCCCAUUUGUCCUCCAUGGACAUGUGCCUGCCCAGGCAGCAUCACUGAAAAAGUGUAAUUAUAGAUGCUAUAGCAACAUUUUUUUUUUUUUUUUACCAGGCAUUGUGUUUCAGAUCCAUUUGUCGGUCUUCUGUUGGCCUUGAUGUUGGGGGGGGAGAGAGAAAACGGGGGAGAAAGUUUAUCUAUAUUUGAGUUUUUGAUUAGAAGAAGCAAAUGGGCUUUUAAUUUCUUCUUAGAAUCUGUUCACUUUCAAACCAGUUGAACUGAAUCCUUUAGAAUGAACCAUUCUCAAAUACAGAGCUGCAGGGAUUGCUUUUCCAGUCUCCAUACUGUUAAUUGCUUUUGCUAGUAAUCCACAGCCAUUCAAACAGAACGACAAAAUAAAUAUAAAUUUGCUGUCCAAGUCAGUAUUUCCAUAGUAAAUAUCCCAGGUACAAUAAUCAAAACUAGCUUCUCCUAAUAUUAAUGGUACAAUUCAUGGUUAAAUUGAAAUAGCCUUUGCAAACAGCAGCCUAUUUUGGAUUAAGCAAAACAAGGAAGGCUGCACUGUAUCCUUAUCGUCAACUGAAGCUUCAGUUUUCAGAACUGAUGUUCCAUUCCAACAUGUUAAGCCGCACAUUUUCUAGAUUUGUCCAGACAUAAAAUCCACAGUGAAGUUACAUAUGGGUUUAUUCAAUAAUUAUGAUGAGAUCCAUAUGCAACAAAUUGUAAAAAAAAAUAAAAAAUCGAGUGUCUGAUGGAUUAGAACAGACAUUUUCAAGCCAAUUUUUUCAAAAUUCAAUUUUGGAUGAGAACCACUUUAUAGUAAAUGCAGGAAAGAAGAACCCUAUAUCUGUGAUAUUU